UCUGAUUAUACCUAUACUAUACUUACAACACAGUUUUCUCACUAUUUACACAUCCAUAUGCAUCGGCACUCUGUGCGCUCCUUAAACAAAGAGACUGUGACAUAAUCUUCUUUAUAGCUGCAAUAUCUAGUCCUGUACCUGUUGAGUGGGGUUGCCUGUAGAUAUUAAAAGCCCUGAGGAAAUGUUCGAGGAGAGAGAGAAUCUAUCUAUAGCAAUCAUCUGAUUACAAAAAUAAUUAUAAAAGUCAUGGACCCAUGUGAGAUGGAGUGAUUUGCUGUUAAAGAGUCAAGACCUUAAUCACUGCAUCCCUAGAAUGUGACUCUUUUAAGGUUGGCUGCAGCCCUGCUUUCCAUAUAUAGUUAUCA
Molecule: long non-coding RNA, 365 nt
Organism: Homo sapiens (human)
Lineage: Eukaryota; Metazoa; Chordata; Mammalia; Primates; Hominidae
Exons: 3
Source: RefSeq, a predicted model, not a curated record